UGGAUCCUGAGUACGACGGAGCACGUGAAAUUCCGUCGGAAUCUGGGAGGACCAUCUCCUAAGGCUAAAUACUCUCUAGUGACCGAUAGUGAACCAGUACCGUGAGGGAAAGGUGAAAAGCACCCCGGAAGGGGAGUGAAAUAGAACCUGAAACCGUGUGCUUACAAGUAGUCAGAGCCCGUUAAUGGGUGAUGGCGUGCCUUUUGUAGAAUGAACCGGCGAGUUACGAUUUGAUGCAAGGUUAAGCAGUAAAUGUGGAGCCGUAGCGAAAGCGAGUCUGAAUAGGGCGUUUAGUAUUUGGUCGUAGACCCGAAACCAGGUGAUCUACCCUUGGUCAGGUUGAAGUUCAGGUAACACUGAAUGGAGGACCGAACCGACUUACGUUGAAAAGUGAGCGGAUGAACUGAGGGUAGCGGAGAAAUUCCAAUCGAACCUGGAGAUAGCUGGUUCUCUCCGAAAUAGCUUUAGGGCUAGCCUCAAGUGAUGAUUAUUGGAGGUAGAGCACUGUUUGGACGAGGGGCCCCUCUCGGGUUACCGAAUUCAGACAAACUCCGAAUGCCAAUUAAUUUAACUUGGGAGUCAGAACAUGGGUGAUAAGGUCCGUGUUCGAAAGGGAAACAGCCCAGACCACCAGCUAAGGUCCCAAAAUAUAUGUUAAGUGGAAAAGGAUGUGGCGUUGCCCAGACAACUAGGAUGUUGGCUUAGAAGCAGCCAUCAUUUAAAGAGUGCGUAAUAGCUCACUAGUCGAGUGACACUGCGCCGAAAAUGUACCGGGGCUAAACAUAUUACCGAAGCUGUGGAUUGUCCUUUGGACAAUGGUAGGAGAGCGUUCUAAGGGCGUUGAAGCAUGAUCGUAAGGACAUG
RNAcentral lists this ribosomal RNA (864 nucleotides) under Staphylococcus aureus. Its description in RNAcentral is "partial 23S ribosomal RNA". It matches the Rfam family "Bacterial large subunit ribosomal RNA", at positions 402 to 1273 of the family's 2925-position model. Lineage: Bacteria; Bacillati; Bacillota; Bacilli; Caryophanales; Staphylococcaceae. The record is from RNAcentral.